Molecule: ribosomal RNA, 405 nt
Filed under: uncultured rumen bacterium
Lineage: Bacteria
Description: bacterial SSU rRNA
Rfam family: Bacterial small subunit ribosomal RNA
Source: RNAcentral
GUGGGGAAUAUUGGACAAUGGGGGAAACCCUGAUCCAGCGACGCCGCGUGAACGAAGAAGUAUUUCGGUAUGUAAAGUUCUAUCAGCAGGGAAGAUAAUGACGGUACCUGACUAAGAAGCACCGGCUAAAUACGUGCCAGCAGCCGCGGUAAUACGUAUGGUGCAAGCGUUAUCCGGAUUUACUGGGUGUAAAGGGUGCGUAGGUGGAAUGGUAAGUCAGAUGUGAAAACUAUGGGCUCAACCCAUAGCCUGCAUUUGAAACUGCCGAUCUAGAGUGCAGGAGAGGAAAGUGGAAUUCCUAGUGUAGCGGUGAAAUGCGUAGAUAUUAGGAGGAACACCAGUGGCGAAGGCGGCUUUCUGGACUGUAACUGACACUGAGGCACGAAAGCGUGGGGAGCAAACAGG